Molecule: non-coding RNA, 3328 nt
Organism: Durio zibethinus
Lineage: Eukaryota; Viridiplantae; Streptophyta; Magnoliopsida; Malvales; Malvaceae
Source: RefSeq, a predicted model, not a curated record
CCGUUAAACCCAACUCAACUGUAAUUCCAAAAAGUUGUUAACGAAACAUAAAAACGUUCCUUCGAACAAACGAACAUUUUUUAAAAAAUUUUUAAACCCAUCCUUUUGCCAGGUUUCCAUAGUCGUCAACAAAACAAAACAAAACUCCUAUUCCUUAUCGUCAACGAAACAAAAGUCAAUUUAAAAGCUAACCCAAGAUUUCCCCAACUCACGAACGGACCUUUCUCCCUCAACAUCCAACUCAAAACCCUAAUGGCUCCCUAAUUUUAGGGCAAUUUUCAAUCCUCUCCCUCUCUCGAUCCGCAAUCCCAACCCAGUUCAACUGGUUCGUUCUUCCCAUGUCUCGUUUCUUCCAUCGUUUUCUUCUACCAUUAUUUUUCUGUGCUUUAGGGUUAGGAUUUGGCGUUGAUUUUGGUCAAGCUUUCAAAGUUCCCUUUAGGGUCAAAGAUGUUCUCCCGGUGCUUCCGCGCCAGAUAUCUUGGCCGGUGUUGAACAAUCUUCACAGCGCCGUUGACUUGUUACCGGCUUUUGUUGGAUCAGUUAGCGCAAACAAUGGGUCGGUUGAGUGGAAAGGAGCUUGCUUUGACGGCAACGAGGCUCGUCUCAAGCUCACCGAAAGAGAUCACAACGAUUCGGGAGUGGGCGGUGGAGUUCUUUACCUCACGACAUCUGAAGCGCACAGCUGGACCUGUAUGGAUCUUUAUGUUUUUGCAACACCUUACAGGAUUACUUGGGAUUACUACUUUUCUGCUCGAGAGCACACAUUGAAAUUUGAUUCUUGGGAAGAAACUGCAGAGUUGGAAUAUGUAAAGCAGCAUGGAAUCUCUGUAUUUCUAAUGCCAUCUGGAAUGCUUGGCACAUUGCUCUCUUUAGUUGAUGUAUUGCCUCUGUUUUCUAAUACCAUCUGGGGUCAGAAUGCCAACCUUGCUUUUUUGAAAACACACAUGGGUGCUUCAUUUGAAAAACGUCCUAAGUCAUGGCGUGCAAUGAUAAAUCCUGAAGAUGUGCAUUCUGGUGACUUUUUGGCAGUGUCAAAGAUCCGUGGUCGGUGGGGGGGAUUUGAGACAUUAGAAAAAUGGGUGACUGGAGCUUUCGCUGGUCAUACUGCGGUUUGCUUGAAGGAUGACAUUGGUAAUCUAUGGGUUGCUGAAUCAGGACAUGAAAAUGAAAAGGGUGAAGAAAUUAUAGUGGUUAUUCCAUGGGAUGAAUGGUGGAAGUUGUCACUGAAGGAUAGUUCUAAUCCACAGAUAGCCUUGCUUCCUUUACAUCCAGAUAUACGUGCAAACUUCAAUGCCACUGCAGCAUGGGAGUAUGCUCGGAGCAUGUCAGGCAAGCCAUAUGGUUAUCACAACAUGAUAUUUAGUUGGAUAGACACUGUAGCUGACAACUAUCCACCACCUCUUGAUGCUCACUUGGUCAUUUCUGUCAUGUCUAUGUGGACUAGAGUGCAGCCAGCAUAUGCCGCAAAUAUGUGGAAUGAAGCACUAAAUAAGCGGUUAGGGACUGAGAAUUUGGAUCUGUACGAAAUUUUAGAGGAGACUGAAAAGCGUGGCAUGGCUUUUGAUCAAUUACUCACCGUCCCAGAACAAGAUGAAUGGGUAUACAGUGAUGGAAAGUCAACAACAUGUGUUGCCUUUAUCCUUGAGAUGUAUAAAGAGGCUGGGGUCUUUGGUCCUAUUUCUAACUCAAUUCAAGUAACUGAAUUCACUAUUCGGGAUGCCUACAUGCUUAAGAUUUUUGAGAACAACAAAACACGACUGCCAAGUUGGUGCAACAACGAGGAUGGUAGGCUUCCAUUCUGUCAGAUUCUUGAUCUCCUCGACUGUCCUGCACGGUUCAUAUUUGGAGGUGUAAUUCACGCGGGGACACCCUGCUAGGGGGGAUUUCAUCCUCAUUCAGUGACCAAUCGAAUAUAUCAAGGUUUUGCUUCAUUCUCUCACCACUGAAACUCUUCACUAUUAUACCGACCCCUGGUUCGUAUGCCCAUCUCAGGGACGUCUGUUUUUGGAGUGAUUAACCAAACUUUCAAUGUGUCUCGAUUUGUUUAAGUUUCCAAAAGUCAAACCCAGACGGGAAAAAAGCAACGGAAAAAAAGAAAAAAGAACAACGUUUGUGGGGGGAAAAAGCACCUGAGCAACAGUUAUCCCUUUUGCCUCGGCAAUUUCUUUCAGAGCCCCACGCUCAAGUACUCUAUUGCUGCCCCAACUGGUUCCAUUGGCUCCCAGCGGUGAGUAAGCUGUCAAAAGGAUCCCCUUAGCUUGGCUAAACUCUCUUAGCUUUUUCUGUUGUCACAGUGGGUUCAUUUCCACGUUGCAAACAUUAUAGCAUCUUCACUAUCAUUACUCCAAACCAAAUUGAGGGUGGGAGAGAGCGAGCGAGCGAACUGUUACCUGAUUAACGGCUGGAGGGAUCUUUGCUAUGGCGAGGAUGUCAGUCAGCUUUUUGCAGGAAAAAUUGCUGACCCCCAAUAGACUUUGUGAUGCCAAGCCUCUGGCAAUCUUCCAUGGCAGCCCAUACAGAAUUGAAAUCCAUGGGGAAGAAGUUUUCCUCCUUUAUUGGAAAUUCAUAAAUCCCGGGCUUUGAGCUGAUGGGCCAGUGAAUAAGAAAGAGAUCAAGGUACUCCAACUUGAGAUAUCUGCAGGAAAAUAAAAGGGACAACAAGUUCUCCAUGAGCAUCGCCGCACCAUAGCUUGGUCGUGAUGAAGAACUCGUCUCGAGAUUGAAUUAGUCCAAUCGAAAGUUCUUUUAAUUGCUUCUCCCAGCGGCGGCCCUGACCCAUACUUGGCAGCCGUAUCAAAAUGUCUAUAACCAGGUUUGAUUGCUUGGAGAAUUGCCAUUUUUGUAGCUUCUGAUCCUACAGGUGGGGAGGCUACCGUUCCCAAGCCCAAAAGUGGCAUUCUCUUGCCACAGUGGGCCAAUACAUGCUCUGGAAUACUGAAUGAAGUAGCCCCCAUGAACAAACUGCAUGCCAUCUUCUUAGCGGCGUUAAUCUAGUUUUUCAAUUUUUCAAAACACUGCUUUUGGCUCACGUUUGACUUCAGGAGGCGGUAGUGAAGCAAAGCUUGUGGAUCUUCUUUAGUUCUCUGGAUGCUAUAAAUCUCGUUACAUGCCAAUUAUUUGGUCAAAUUGUUCAAUUAGUUCAUAUACUUACAUGAAAUUUAAGCUUUAGUCUUUAUAUAAUAAUUUAUAAAAAUUUGAUCAUCGUAUUAGUUUAAUUUAAUAAUGUUGGUCCAAUUCAUAACGGUAUUACUUAAUCUCUAUUUAAUUAGUUGACGUGGUUGCUGACCAUACUAACAUUGCGUUGAUUUAAAUGAUGUGGCGUUGAUUU